Molecule: ribosomal RNA, 501 nt
Filed under: uncultured bacterium
Lineage: Bacteria
Description: partial 16S ribosomal RNA
Rfam family: Bacterial small subunit ribosomal RNA
Source: RNAcentral
AUUGAACGCUGGCGGCAGGCUUAACACAUGCAAGUCGAGCGGAGAGAGGUAGCUUGCUACUGAUCUUAGCGGCGGACGGGUGAGUAAUGCUUAGGAAUCUGCCUAUUAGUGGGGGACAACAUUUCGAAAGGAAUGCUAAUACCGCAUACGUCCUACGGGAGAAAGCAGGGGAUCUUCGGACCUUGCGCUAAUAGAUGAGCCUAAGUCGGAUUAGCUAGUUGGUGGGGUAAAGGCCUACCAAGGCGACGAUCUGUAGCGGGUCUGAGAGGAUGAGCCGCCACACUGGGACUGAGACACGGCCCAGACUCCUACGGGAGGCAGCAGUGGGGAAUAUUGGACAAUGGGCGGAAGCCUGAUCCAGCCAUGCCGCGUGUGUGAAGAAGGCCUUAUGGUUGUAAAGCACUUUAAGCGAGGAGGAGGCUACUUUAGUUAAUACCUAGAGAUAGUGGACGUUACUCGCAGAAUAAGCACCGGCUAACUCUGUGCCAGCAGCCGCGGUAA